RNAcentral lists this ribosomal RNA (491 nucleotides) under uncultured bacterium. RNAcentral's name for it is "partial 16S ribosomal RNA". It matches the Rfam family "Bacterial small subunit ribosomal RNA", at positions 29 to 507 of the family's 1533-position model. The record is from RNAcentral.
AGUGAACGCUGGCGGUAGGCCUAACACAUGCAAGUCGAACGGCAGCACAGUAAGAGCUUGCUCUUACGGGUGGCGAGUGGCGGACGGGUGAGGAAUACAUCGGAAUCUAUUUUUUCGUGGGGGAUAACGUAGGGAAACUUACGCUAAUACCGCAUACGACCUACGGGUGAAAGCAGGGGAUCUUCGGACCUUGCGCGAUUGAAUGAGCCGAUGUCGGAUUAGCUAGUUGGCGGGGUAAAGGCCCACCAAGGGGACGAUCCGUAGCUGGUCUGAGAGGAGGUACAGCCACAGGGAAACUGACACACGGCCCAGCCUCCUAGGGAGGGCGCAGUUGGGUAAUCUGGACAAUUGGGGGCAACCUUGUCCCAGCCUACCCGGGUGGUGAAGAAGGCCUUCGGGUUGUAAAGCCCUUUUGUUGGGAAAGAAAAGCAGCAGGUUAAUACCCCGCUGUUCUGACGGUACCCAAAGAAUAAGCACCGGCUAACUUCGUG